AGAACCAAAAAAAAAAAAAAAAAAUUCAAAAGAAAAAGAAAAUAGACUGGCCUCCUUCCCUUGAUAAUUUUCCGGGUGAACUCAAAUACCCUGGCCUGCCACACCCAACGCAGACUGAGCAAUUUCACUUCCCGGUCCCCUGGGUGGGUGGCACCCGGCACAGUGGUGGAACAUUCCAACACCCACACACUAAACGCUUCUGUUCUGGAACAGUUGUGGUAACCCUCUGCGAACCUGAGGCUUGAGGCCUGAAGCCUGGAAAAAGUCCGGCCUGGCUGGAGCCUGCAGCAUGGCCUGGCUGGGGCCUACACUGUGACCUGACUGGGGCCUGCAUUGUGGCCUGACUGGGGCCUGCAGCAUGGCCUGGCUGGGGCCUACACUGUGGCCUGACUGGGGCCUGUAGCAUGGCCUGACUGGGGCCUACACUGUGGCCUGGCUGGGGCCUGCAGCAUAGCCUGGCUGGGGCCUACACUGUGGCCUGACUGGGGCCUGCAGCAUGGCCUGACUGGGGCCUAUGCUGUGGCCUGGCUGGGGCCUACACUGUGGCCUGACUGGGGCCUGCAGCAUGGCCUGACUGGGGCCUGCAGCAUGGCCUGGCUGGGGCCUGUAGCAUGGCCUGGCUGGGGCCUGCACUGUGGCCUGACUGGGGCCUGUAGCAUGGCCUGACUGGGGCCUACACUGUGGCCUGUCUGGGGCCUGCACUAUGGCCUGACUGGGGCCUGCAGCAUGGCCUGACUGGGGCCUACACUGUGGCCUGACUGGGGCCUGCAGCAUGGCCUGACUGGGGCCUACACUGUGGCCUGACUGGGGCCUGCAGCAUGGCCUGGCUGGGGCCUGCACUGUGGCCUGACUGGGGCCUGCAGCAUGGCCUGACUGGGGCCUACACUGUGGCCUGACUGGGGCCUGCAGCAUGGCCUGGCUGGGGCCUGCACUGUGGCCUGAAUGGGGCCUGCAGCAAGGCCUGGCUGGGGCCUACACUGUGGCCUGACUGGGGGCUGCAACAUGGCCUGGCUGGGGCCUGCACUGUGGCCUGACUGGGGCCUGCAGCAUGGCCUGACUGGGGCCUACACUGUGGCCUGACUGGGGCCUGCAGCAUGGCCUGGCUGGGGCCUGCACUGUGGCCUGAAUGGGGCCUGCAGCAAGGCCUGGCUGGGGCCUACACUGUGGCCUGACUGGGGGCUGCAGCAUGGCCUGACUGGGGCCUACACUGUGGCCUGGCUGGGGCCUGCACUGUGGCCUGGCUGGGGCCUGCAGCAAGGCCUGGCUGGGGCCUACACUGUGGCCUGGCUGGGGCCUGCACUGUGGCUUGACUGGGGCCUGCAGCAAGGCCUGGCUGGGGCCUACACUGUGGCCUGACUGGGGCUUGCAGCAUGGCCUGACUGGGGCCUACACUGUGGCCUGGCUGGGGCCUGCACUAUGGCCUGACUGGGGCCUGCAGCAUGGCCUGGCUGGGGCCUACACUGUGACCUGACUGGGGCCUGCAGCAUGGCCUGACUGGAGCCUACGCUGUGGCCUGGCUGGGGCCUACACUGUGGCCUGACUGGGGCCUGCAGCAUGGCCUGGCUGGGACCUACAUUGUGGCCUGGCUGGGGCCUACACUGUGGUCUGACUGGGGCCUGCAGCAUGGCCUGGCUGGAGCCUACACUGUGGCCUGACUGGGACCUGCAGCAAGGCCUGGCUGGGGCCUACACUGUAGCCUGGCUGGGGUCUGCAGCAUGGCCUGGCUGGGGCCUGCACUAUGGCCUGACUGGGGCCUGCAGCAUGGCCUGGCUGGGGCCUACAUUGUGGCCUGACUGGGGCCUACACUGUGGUCUGACUGGGGCCUGCAGCAUGGCCUGGCUGGAGCUUACACUGUGGCCUGACUGGGACCUGCAGCAAGGCCUGGCUGGGGCCUGCACUGUAGCCUGGCUGGGGCCUGCACUGUGGCCUUCCUGGGGCCUGCAGUGUGGCCUGGCUGGGGACAGCACCUAUGUUGUCAUGCAUCUGGCUACGGCUGCAGGCCCGGGGUCUUAACCCUUCAGAGGAGGACAAGCUCACAGGCUUCUUGCCUGUCUAUGGGGACUAUGACUUAGAAACCUAUACCAGUCACAGUUCUGUGACACCCUCCUCUUGCACUAGAAAGAACAGGCCUUUCUAUUCGUGGGGGUCAAGGAGGGCGCAGAUAGUCUAGAAGCAGAGCCGGAGAGGUCUGAGGGAAGUAGAGCCUCUAGCAGGUUGAAGCCUGGGGUGCUUCCAGGAGAGGCCUUAGGAAAACUUCUAGGUGUGAGGCUGGGUUCUGGUCAAGUUUGACAGGGUCCGAGGCAGCCCUGAAGCGGUUGUCCCUGAGGCGGUGUCACAGCACUGUGUUUUGCUCACGGCAGACUUGUGUAGUUGAGAAAGCUAGAACAGCAGAACUCAGUGUUUUCUCCAUGAGUGUCUGCUUGCUCCUGGGGGCGUGUGGGGAGGAAGAAGCAGUAGCUGACAGGGUGACUGCCUACCCUGGGAGGGGAAUAGGGAGCUGUAACUGUUCUCACUGGCAGGCGAGAGGACUGAGUUUGAGAGAAUGCAAGCUGCCGGGGCAGCUGUACCAGGUAGCCAUCUUGAGCCCGUGUGUGAUGCUCCACUGACUGACUCUUGCCUGAUAGGCCCACAGAUCUGGUAAAUGAGGCAAGGUGCCUUGUGCACGGCAGAGGCCAAGUAGACAGAUCUGAGCUGUGCAGACUACAGGAUGGGGGACACAGAUAGAGCUAGAAAGUGGCCAGGACUCUGAGGCUUAGCACAGGUCCAAGACCCAGAUCUUAGUCUGGGCCAAGCUCGGGGACAGUCCUGUGUCCCCUCCUCCCCACUGGACCAUUGUCACCUGGGUCAGACUCAGGGCUGAUGGAUGACCCCCUUCUAAUAGACUAACCCUCGGUGACUUGUGUCUCUCAUGCCAUGUGGCUUUCUGUAAGUUACAUGAUAUAGGAUAGGUGGGCAGGGACUACAGGACAGAAGUACAGCUCUGACAAAGCUCAGCUCUUUGUCCCCAAGCCAUGACUCUGGGUCCCCCUGGGUGUCUUUACUUGGCCUGGCCUGGCUGGAUCAUAUCUGGGGUCAUGGUCCUGUCUUCUUGGUUUGUCUUUUAGUCACUCUCUGGUCUUCUAUGGGGACCCUGAGUUUGCCCAGAUCCCUCAAACAGAGUUCAGAGGCUGACAUCAUGUUUUCAUAGAGUACCCUCUGGUGUGGAAACCCACAGAGAUGUUGCUUGCUGCUCAUGACGAAGAGAGAAGAGCUUGAGGCCAAAGCACACAGGACACCUGCUCCCAGGGCUUCCUGCUUUCCUGCCUUCUGGAGGACCUCACUGAAGUCACCCACUGCCAUCCCUGCCACCCCUGCAUCCACAAGGCUCUGAUGAUGGGAAACCCCAGUGAGGAGCAGCAGCUGGCUCGAGCCACACCCUGUCCAUGGCUCUGUGACUCCUGAUGUGAAGUGCCCUGAGAACAGCCGCCCUCACAGCCCCAGCACCAUUCUCUUUAAGAACAGACCUCAGAAACACGCACGAUCUCCCUGAGCUGAGGGCACCUGUGCACUCAAGGCCCCCAAAGGAUGUGCUGAAUGGCAAAGGUCAAAAUCUUGGUCAUGGGCCAAGAAAGGGUAAAGUAUCAACCGUGAGGGAGGCACCAGGGGCACAGUGACAAGACCAGACCUCGAGCAAAGGCCAUUCUUGAUGCUACCAAGUAGGCACGCCCAGGGCUACAGACUGCCACAGCUACACGGUCAUGCUGUUUGCCCAGCGUCUUCUGUGGGUAGAGACAGAUUACAGAGGUGAGACAUCCCGAAUGGAUACACACUUCAGAGAACGUUCCAGAAUGCCUGGAAGGAGGGAGUAUCCUAACAGACUCCUGAGGCCUGUCCAGGGCUUCCCUGCUGGGCUGGAGUGUGGGCAGGGGCAACAUGGUCGGGCGGGGCUUGGCUCGGCUCUGCAGAUCCGAUGUGCACAGAGCGGCUGCUCCUCACCAAAUCACUGCGGGUUUCAGAAACAGUCCACGUACCUGUAAUGUUUAAAGAAGCACAAAGGGGUUGGGGAUUUAGCUCAGUGGUGAGCGCUUGCCUAGCAAGUGCAAGACUCUGGGUUUGGUCCCCAGCUCCAAAGGGGGAAAAAAAAAAAGAAGCACAGAAAAUCCUGUUAAAUCUGUUUAAUGGCACAGGAGGAAGCAGUGACACAGUGACAGGUGAGUGCCCUCCCUGAGUAGCUCAUCACAAACCCCCAUCUCUCCAUCUUCCUCUGUGUUCAAACUGUGUUCUCGGAGGUUCCUUUCUUCAUCCCUCUAAGGGGAGCAGGGCUCAACCUUCAGACACAGGUCUCCAAGCAGCCCUGGGAAGGCUUAAGGUGCAUGUGUGCACAUGUGUGAGCAUGUCUGUCCAUGUGCAUGUGGUAAGCGUGUACAUGGCAUGUGUGUGUGUGUGUGUGUGUGUGUGUGUGUGUGUGGUGUGCAUGCAUGUAGUGUGUGAGUGGAGUAUAGUGUGUGUGCACGCAUGGGGUGGGGGCUGACUUGCCACAGCUGGCUUCAUUCAUCUCUGAGUUUCUGCAUCGCCGAGACUGUCCCCCUGCUAAAGGAGACAUUGCAGCUUGAAAUGAGACUUCACUGAUUUAUCUCCCCAAACCCUGGAUACAAUUCUCUGCUACUUCCAAUUUAUUGUUUAAAUAAGUUGAUGUGUUUAAUGCAAUGCUUUAAACGUGACAUUUAAACAAACCGAUCGAUCUCACACGAGUUUUCCUGGGUUACAUGUUAGGUUUGCUCUGUCCCUCCAGGAGCAUCAGCAGCCUGGGAUAGCAGUGGACCAUCCGCUUUUCUCCUCCUGCAGCCAUUCCCACAGCCUAGAUUCCAGUUUGCAUUAGACUGGCUUCAGAUUCUCGCCAUGCCACUGCACAGAGAUCCACCUGCCUGUCUCCCGGGCGCUGGGGUGAAAGGUGUGUGUCACCGACCCCUGAGUGACACCACUUUUUUGUCCUUUGUUUUUGGCACCACUUUUUAGUAGCUUAGUUGGGUUGUGGUCGACAUGUAACACAGCGCACGAGUUUAAGGUGUGCACCCCAGAGCUAAUGAGGUGGUUCAGAGCUGAAAACCGCUUGCUAUGCAAGUCCGACGCUCUGAGCUGGAUCCCUGCAACCCACAGUGGAAGAAAGAAAUGACUACCGAAAGCUAUCCUCCGACUUCUCCAUGUGCACAUGUGUACCCUCCUCUGUCCUUCUCUGUCUGUCUGUCUCUCUCUCUAUCAACAACAACAAAACAACAGUAACAACUGAAAAAAAAAUCAUGUAUCAGUUCCAGAGUCUGACUAGUCACAAAUCCUUUGCUGCUGUCCAGUCCCUGAUAAAGUCACCCUCCGGGAUCUUUCUCCUGUCAUUCUAUCCACUGUCCUACCUGUGCUGGCUACUUUUAUAUUUACUUUACCCAAGCUAGAUUCAGUGACAGAGGAGAAAGCCUCAACUGAGAAAAUGCCCCCAUAAGAACAGGCUACAGACAAGCCCGCAGGGCACUUUCUUAAUUAGUGAUCAAUGGGGGAGGGCCCAGCCCACUGUGGGCGGUGUCACCCCUGGGCUGGUGGUUCUGGGAUCUAUAAGAAAGCAGGCUGAUUGAGCCACAGGGAGCAUGCCAGUAAGCAGCGCCCCUCCAUGGCCUCUGCAUCAGCUCCUGCCUCCAGGGCUCUUCACUGAACUCCUGCCCUGACUUCCAAAUAAACCCUCCCCUUCCUGAGUUGCUUUUGGUCAUGGUGCUACUUCACAACGAUACUGACCCCAAGUAAGACACUUCCACAUGUCACUUUCUCCUAUCCAGAUGCACACUAACAUGUGAGUCUGUCUGCCUGCCCAUCUGUGUGUGUGUGUGUGUGUGUGUGUGUGUGUGUGUGUGUGUGUGAAUGCAUGAGUGUCUGCACUGUGGCAGGUGUGUGGAGGUCAGAGGACCUCAGGUGUCAGCUGUCAGUCAGGUGUCAGUCCUUGCCUUCCCCCCUGUUUGAGGCACUGUCUCUGUGACUCUUUUCUUUCUUUUUUCUUUUUUUUUCUCUUUCUUUUUUUUUUUUUCUAUUUUCGGAGCUGGGGA
Molecule: non-coding RNA, 6062 nt
Organism: Rattus norvegicus (Norway rat)
Lineage: Eukaryota; Metazoa; Chordata; Mammalia; Rodentia; Muridae
Source: RefSeq, a predicted model, not a curated record